GAGCAAAAGUGCUGACAGAAAGCCAUUUUUAGGUUUGAAAAGGUGAGUUCUGCAACGUGGUCGUACUAGUCCGACGAGUAGUAGCUCUAAUUGAACGUGUAAUUUGGGUGAGUUUCGCUUUUUGUUUUUU
This is a long non-coding RNA of Drosophila persimilis, 130 nucleotides long. RefSeq lists it as uncharacterized. Lineage: Eukaryota; Metazoa; Arthropoda; Insecta; Diptera; Drosophilidae. The record is from RefSeq and is a predicted model, not a curated record. The transcript has 3 exons.